GCUCAGUUGGUAAAGCACAAGGCUCUUAACCUUGUGGACGUGGAUUCGAGUCCCAU
This is a non-coding RNA of Triticum aestivum (bread wheat), 56 nucleotides long. The record is from Rfam. NCBI's taxonomy places the organism in Eukaryota, Viridiplantae, Streptophyta, Magnoliopsida, Poales, Poaceae.